UGGGGAAUCUUGCACAAUGGAGGAAACUCUGAUGCAGCGAUGCCGCGUGAGUGAAGAAGGCCUUUGGGUUGUAAAGCUCUUUUGUAGGGGAAGAUAAUGACUGUACCCUAAGAAUAAGGUCCGGCUAACUUCGUGCCAGCAGCCGCGGUAAUACGGAGGAUGCAAGCGUUAUCCGGAAUUAUUGGGCGUAAAGCGUCCGUAGGUGGUUGUUCAAGUCUGCUGUUAAAGCGGGCGGCUUAACCGCAUAUC
This 249-nucleotide ribosomal RNA is filed under the name uncultured organism. RNAcentral's name for it is "partial 16S ribosomal RNA". It matches the Rfam family "Bacterial small subunit ribosomal RNA", at positions 355 to 621 of the family's 1533-position model. The record is from RNAcentral.